Acanthosepion pharaonis is the source of this 109-nucleotide non-coding RNA. Lineage: Eukaryota; Metazoa; Mollusca; Cephalopoda; Sepiida; Sepiidae. The record is from the annotation of a GenBank genome assembly.
UGACCAUAUCAUGUUGAAACACUAGUUCCCAUACUAUCACCAAAGUUAAGCAAUAUUGAGCCUGGUUAGUACUUAGAUGGGUGACCAUUUGUGAUAUCAGGUGCUGUAA